Molecule: unclassified non-coding RNA, 302 nt
Filed under: plant metagenome
Description: partial contains 5.8S ribosomal RNA, internal transcribed spacer 2, and large subunit ribosomal RNA
Rfam family: 5.8S ribosomal RNA (bases 1-103)
Source: RNAcentral
AAUGCGAUAAGUAGUGUGAAUUGCAGAAUUCAGUGAAUCAUCGAAUCUUUGAACGCACAUUGCGCCCCUUGGUAUUCCAUGGGGCAUGCCUGUUCGAGCGUCAUUUGUACCUUCAAGCUUUGCUUGGUGUUGGGUGUUUGUCUCGCCUCUGCGUGUAGACUCGCCUCAAAACAAUUGGCAGCCGGCGUAUUGAUUUCGGAGCGCAGUACAUCUCGCGCUUUGCACUCAUAACGACGACGUCCAAAAGUACAUUUUUACACUCUUGACCUCGGAUCAGGUAGGGAUACCCGCUGAACUUAAGC